AAAAACGGAGGUUCUGGAGCUUCGAAACGGACCGACACCAUCCUAGCCAAUUCCUGCCAGGGUGAGACCUCUAACCACCAUAUUUGGAUUACUCUCGUUGAAUAGAUGAAUUUUCAUAUAUGGAUCGUGGAAUUUAGUUAAGAACUGAGUGAGAUAUGAGCGUUUAAAUUUCUCCUCUGCAGAGUGCAGACGCACAAACCAAACCCAAGGGCGCCAACUGCACUACAUUUACGUUCAACAGUAGCACAAUAUUGAAUCCAUAUCCAUCAAUUUCAGUCAACUUUCGUACUACCAUUCGUCAUUAAGUUACUUCAACAAACUUUAUAAAGAUUGCACGUAGCUACUUAGGCACGAAGGAAUCUGGUGAGUUUCACUCUCACUCUUAACAGUUUAAUUAGUUUAAAGUUGAAAUAUUGCUUAUAUAAAAUAAGAGAAUUGUUAUUGGUAUUCAAAAAAUCUUAUUUUGCAUGCCAAAUUUUCUAUAAAUAAAAAGAAAAAUAUACUUGUAAGAAACGCGAAAUGAGAUUUUAUUACUGCUAUUAACAAUUCCGUAAAAAUUUUUUGUAACUUUGAUUUUUUCUGUUGGUAAAAUUUUGUUUUGCUUGUACUAGGGUAAAGUACCCAUUUUCACAUACAUGAUUGGAC
Molecule: long non-coding RNA, 645 nt
Filed under: Malus domestica (apple)
Lineage: Eukaryota; Viridiplantae; Streptophyta; Magnoliopsida; Rosales; Rosaceae
Description: long non-coding RNA (MDOM_LNC014370)
Source: RNAcentral